GUUUUAAUAAUUUAAUUAAAAAUAUUAGUUUUGUAAACUAAAUUUAGGUUUCCUUUAAAACA
This 62-nucleotide transfer RNA is filed under the name Ghauriana sinensis. RNAcentral's name for it is "tRNA-Thr". The record is from RNAcentral. Lineage: Eukaryota; Metazoa; Arthropoda; Insecta; Hemiptera; Cicadellidae.